AUGCUACUCCCUCCGUCCGAAAAUACUUGUCAUCAAAAUGGAUAAAAGAGGAUGUAUCUAGACGUGUUUUUAGUUCUAAAUACACUUCUUUUUGUUCAUUUUGAUGACAAGUAUUUCCGGACGGAGGGAGUACAAC
Non-coding RNA from Triticum aestivum (bread wheat), 136 nucleotides. NCBI's taxonomy places the organism in Eukaryota, Viridiplantae, Streptophyta, Magnoliopsida, Poales, Poaceae. The record is from Rfam.